RNAcentral lists this ribosomal RNA (253 nucleotides) under uncultured bacterium. RNAcentral describes it as "partial 16S ribosomal RNA". It matches the Rfam family "Bacterial small subunit ribosomal RNA", at positions 524 to 776 of the family's 1533-position model. The record is from RNAcentral.
CACGGGGGGAGCAAGCGUUAAUCGGAAUUACUGGGCGUAAAGCGUGCGCAGGCGGCUUUGCAAGACAGAUGUGAAAUCCCCGGGCUUAACCUGGGAACUGCAUUUGUGACUGCAUGGCUGGAGUGCGGCAGAGGGGGAUGGAAUUCCGCGUGUAGCAGUGAAAUGCGUAGAUAUGCGGAGGAACACCGAUGGCGAAGGCAAUCCCCUGGGCCUGCACUGACGCUCAUGCACGAAAGCGUGGGGAGCAAACAGG